Molecule: ribosomal RNA, 543 nt
Filed under: Wickerhamiella pararugosa
Lineage: Eukaryota; Fungi; Ascomycota; Dipodascomycetes; Dipodascales; Trichomonascaceae
Description: eukaryotic LSU rRNA
Rfam family: Eukaryotic large subunit ribosomal RNA
Source: RNAcentral
AAACCAACAGGGAUUCCCUUAGUAACGGCGAGUGAACCGGGAAAAGCUCAAAUUUGAAAUCUGCCAACAGGCCGAGUUGUAAUUUGUAGAUGGCUACACUGCAUAAUAGUAGAUGCUCAAGUUCUUUGGAAAAAGACAUCAUGGAGGGUGACAAUCCCGUGAGGCAUGUUACUAGGAGCAUAUAGUGGGCUUUCUAAGAGUCGAGUUGUUUGGGAAUGCAGCUCAAAGUGCGUGGUGAAUACCAUGUAAAGCUAAAUAUGGACGAGAGACCGAUAGCGAACAAGUACUGUGAAGGAAAGAUGAAAAGCACUCCGAAAGGAGAGUGAAAUAGUACGUGAAAUUGUUAAAGUGGAAGGGCUUGAGAUCAGAAUUGGUAGUUUGGGUUCCACGUCCUCUUGGGGGCGUGUACUCCCUUUCCACCGGGCCAGCGGGAGUUUCGUCUCUUGGGUAAAAGCAGUGGAAUGUAGCAGCUUGUCUGUAUUAUAGCCUCUGUUCAUACAAGACGUCGAGACUUGAUUUGUUGGCGUAAUGAUCUCUAGCCAC